This 477-nucleotide ribosomal RNA is filed under the name uncultured bacterium. RNAcentral's name for it is "partial 16S ribosomal RNA". It matches the Rfam family "Bacterial small subunit ribosomal RNA", at positions 28 to 506 of the family's 1533-position model. The record is from RNAcentral.
GAUGAACGCUGGCGGCGUGCUUAACACAUGCAAGUCGAACGGGAAACCUUUUAUUGAAGCUUCGGCAGAUUUAGCUGGUUUCUAGUGGCGGACGGGUGAGUAACGCGUGGGUAACCUGCCUUAUACAGGGGGAUAACAGUCAGAAAUGGCUGCUAAUACCGCAUAAGCGCACAGAGCUGCAUGGCCCAGUGUGAAAAACUCCGGUGGUAUAAGAUGGACCCGCGUUGGAUUAGCUGGUUGGUGGGGUAACGGCCCACCAAGGCGACGAUCCAUAGCCGGCCUGAGAGGGUGAACGGCCACAUUGGGACUGAGACACGGCCCAGACUCCUACGGGAGGCAGCAGUGGGGAAUAUUGCACAAUGGGGGAAACCCUGAUGCAGCGACGCCGCGUGAAGGAAGAAGUAUCUCGGUAUGUAAACUUCUAUCAGCAGGGAAGAUAAUGACGGUACCUGACUAAGAAGCCCCGGCUAACUACGU